Molecule: transfer RNA, 77 nt
Filed under: Patescibacteria group bacterium
Lineage: Bacteria
Also listed under: 1 other name
Description: tRNA-Met
Rfam family: tRNA
About the family: Transfer RNA (tRNA) molecules are approximately 80 nucleotides in length.
Source: RNAcentral
GGCAGGGUAGCUCAGGCGGUUAGAGCGCGGCACUCAUAACGCCGAGGUCGAGGGUUCGAUUCCCUCCCCUGCUACCA